UGGGGAAUAUUGGACAAUGGGCGCAAGCCUGAUCCAGCCAUGCCGCGUGAGUGACGAAGGUCUUCGGAUUGUAAAACUCUUUUUGGCGGGGACGAUAAUGACGGUACCCGCAGAAUAAGCCCCGGCUAACUUCGUGCCAGCAGCCGCGGUAAUACGAAGGGGGCUAGCGUUGUUCGGAAUCACUGGGCGUAAAGCGCACGUAGGCGGAUGUGCCAGUCAGGGGUGAAAUCCCGGAGCUCAACUCCGGAACUGCCUCUGAUACUGCACGUCUUGAGUUCGAGAGAGGUGGGUGGAAUUCCUAGUGUAGAGGUGAAAUUCGUAGAUAUUAGGAAGAACACCGGUGGCGAAGGCGGCCCACUGGCUCGAUACUGACGCUGAGUGCGAAAGCGUGGGGAGCAAACAGGAUUAGAUACCCUCGUAGUCCCUGAGCGGGCUGGCAAGGCG
This 444-nucleotide ribosomal RNA is filed under the name uncultured bacterium. Its description in RNAcentral is "bacterial SSU rRNA". It matches the Rfam family "Bacterial small subunit ribosomal RNA", at positions 355 to 822 of the family's 1533-position model. The record is from RNAcentral.